UACGAAGGGGGCUAGCGUUGUUCGGAAUUACUGGGCGUAAAGCGCACGUAGGCGGAUUUUUAAGUCAGAUGUGAAAUCCCAAGGCUCAACCUUGGAACUGCAUUUGAAACUGGGAAUCUAGAGAUCAGGAGAGGUUAGUGGAAUACCGAGUGUAGAGGUGAAAUUCGUAGAUAUUCGGUGGAACACCAGUGGCGAAGGCGACUAACUGGACUGAUACUGACGCUGAGGUGCGAAAGUGUGGGGAGCAAACAGG
RNAcentral lists this ribosomal RNA (253 nucleotides) under uncultured bacterium. RNAcentral's name for it is "partial 16S ribosomal RNA". It matches the Rfam family "Bacterial small subunit ribosomal RNA", at positions 524 to 776 of the family's 1533-position model. The record is from RNAcentral.